GUUUUGAUAGUUAAUAAUAAUAAUAAUUUUGUAAAUUAUAGUUGAAUAUUCAUUCUCAAAACU
RNAcentral lists this transfer RNA (63 nucleotides) under Ammothea carolinensis. RNAcentral describes it as "tRNA-Thr". Lineage: Eukaryota; Metazoa; Arthropoda; Pycnogonida; Pantopoda; Ammotheidae. The record is from RNAcentral.